This 1107-nucleotide ribosomal RNA is filed under the name Triticum aestivum (bread wheat). Its description in RNAcentral is "partial small subunit ribosomal RNA". Lineage: Eukaryota; Viridiplantae; Streptophyta; Magnoliopsida; Poales; Poaceae. The record is from RNAcentral.
AUGGAAGACUUUCUGGCUUGGAGAUUUACAAAGAACAACAUCUUCUCGGUAAGAUCAGCUUAUUACGUUGAAUGGGAUCAUCAAUUUGCUCGUUGGUACGAGAGAACAGAGGGACAACCAUCACAACGACACCCGAUCUGGGCGAAUCUGUGGAGUUUUCAAGUGCCAGCGAAGAUCAAGAUCCAUGCUUGGAAGGUUUUACAUGGAUUUAUUCCUUGCCGUGGGGUUCUGGUGAACCGGCACAUUGGCACGGAAGAUAGUUGCCCCAUGUGUGCUGGUGGAUGUGAGGACAUCAUGCACUCACUGUUUACCUGCCUGAGAGCAGCUAAAAUUUGGAGCUGCCUGAAGCUGGACAAAUUCAUUGAUGAAGCUUGCUUGACUGAUAGGGCGGGAACGGCGGCAUUGGACUAUAUUUUAUGCGCCCCGUCACGAGUGAGUUUGAUAUAGCAUGCUCCUGCCCAAGCUCUCAUCCUAGUUGGAAUUUGGUAUAUAUGGUGGGAACGACGACAACACGUUCAUGGUGAGGAGGUGCAAACCCCGGCUCGGUCAGCGCUGUCGAUUGUGGCGCUAACUGCUAAUUAUUUCAAGGCCAUGAAGAAAAGCGCCGAACCGAGGAGAAAUGGUUGGACAAAGCCGCUUGAAGGUUUCGUGAAGCUAAACGUAGAUGCAUCAUUCAGGGCACUCUCCCUCCAGGGAGCUGUUGGUGUUGUCCUACGGGAUCACAAGGGUGGAUUCGUUGCGGCGUCCAGCGAACAACUGGAGCAUGUUGCAGAUGCGGGGACGGCGGAAGCUUAUGCUCUUCGACGUGGAUUACUACUGGCGCAAGAACUGGGGAUAAGCAAGCUUGUGGUUGAGUCGGACUGUCUCGAGGUGAUCAAUACCAUGCAGAAUGGAGGCUUUACGGCUUCAGGCGCAGUGGCGAUUUAUUCGGAUUGUUUGGUCCUGGUUAUAGGAUAUACUUCGGUCACAUUUGUCCACUGCCCUAGAGAGGCAAAUUCUGUAUCUCACGAUCCAGCUAGGCUGGCGAGGCCGUCCCCUUCACUGUGGGUCGAGGAACCGCCGGGUUUCAUUGUAAAAGGCUUGGUGGACGAUGUAACAAUUAUAUGA